This 614-nucleotide ribosomal RNA is filed under the name uncultured bacterium. Its description in RNAcentral is "bacterial SSU rRNA". The stretch from base 1 to 518 matches the Rfam family "Bacterial small subunit ribosomal RNA", at positions 338 to 873 of the family's 1533-position model. The record is from RNAcentral.
CCUACGGGAGGCAGCAGUGGGGAAUCUUGCGCAAUGGGCGAAAGCCUGACGCAGCCAUGCCGCGUGAAUGAUGAAGGUCUUAGGAUUGUAAAAUUCUUUCACCGGGGACGAUAAUGACGGUACCCGGAGAAGAAGCCCCGGCUAACUUCGUGCCAGCAGCCGCGGUAAUACGAAGGGGGCUAGCGUUGCUCGGAAUUACUGGGCGUAAAGGGAGCGUAGGCGGAUAGUUUAGUCAGAGGUGAAAGCCCAGGGCUCAACCUUGGAAUUGCCUUUGAUACUGGCUAUCUUGAGUAUGGGAGAGGUUAGCGGAACUCCGAGUGUAGAGGUGAAAUUCGUAGAUAUUCGGAAGAACACCAGUGGCGAAGGCGGCUAACUGGCCCAUUACUGACGCUGAGGCUCGAAAGCGUGGGGAGCAAACAGGAUUAGAUACCCUGGUAGUCCACGCCGUAAACGAUGAGUGCUAGUUGUCGGCAUGCAUGCAUGUCGGUGACGCAGCUACGACAUAAGACACCUCCGCCGUCGGGGAGGUACGGUCGCGAAGAAUUAAAACUUAAAAUUAAGUAAGUUAGUACGGCGUGAGACGUGCCGAACGGACGACGACGAGGGGAGGUAGG